Molecule: long non-coding RNA, 1285 nt
Organism: Strigops habroptila (Kakapo)
Lineage: Eukaryota; Metazoa; Chordata; Aves; Psittaciformes; Psittacidae
Source: Ensembl
AGUGAAAGAGAGUAACAUAAAACUUUAUUCCAAAGUAUGUACCAGUGAUUUACAAAGACCAUCUUUAAUACUACAACUUAAAACCAGGUCAUAAUUACAUUUGUUUAAGAUGGACAUGUUAAAAACCCACUUUACAAUAUUUACCCCUCAUAAAAAAAACCCCCACAAUAUAACGAUAUAAGUUACAAGUCCAUUUCAGAAGCAAGAUGUUGUCCCCAAGUGGCUUAGAGAUAUAUAUAUACACACACAAAUAUAUAUAUGAUGUGUAAGUGCACGAGUGAACUGCGUGUCUUGGGAGAAAAAGGUCUUUUCAAGUGAAGACUGCACUACACCAGGAGCGAGUGAGGCUGAGCAGGAGAAGGCAGUGCUGGCGGGGGGGUGAGGGCUGAGGGUCCCCCUUGCACCCCACCAGUCUCAGAGGUAACCUCUAUUUCUUCCCCUUCAAGCUACGGUUUCUUGCUUCACACAACAGGACUUUAGUCAGUGUAUCUACCAGCGCUGAAUGCAGCUGCAGUCACAGUGAGUGAGUUUUGAGUCUUUCUGCUUUCCCUCAGCCUAUUUUGUUCCUUUUCAUUUUCCUUUUGAUUCUUAUAAAUUAACGUGACGAGCGGAUGCUAAUUCUGUGAGCAGAAUUUUGUCCAAGUUCCCCCUCGCAGAGCUCUCUGUAGCUCUGGUGGGUGAACUAAGGCUGCCCUUGGUGUGUGUGGGGGGAGGUUAAAUGUGUCCUUGCUUUUAAAAACACAAAAGUGACGGAAUUAAUCCAGUUUGUCCUAAUUGCAUUUAUUAUAAACCAGAAGCUGCCUCCAGCAGAAGACAGUCUGUGACUAUUAUUAAUAGCCUCAAGUGUUCCAUGAACUAAAUCUAUGUGCGUUGUAAGCGUGGGGUGAAGGGAGCAGGAUUUAGGACAUGGUGCACGGCUGCUGCCUGCCUCAGCCCACGCUCUGUACAGGACAGUGGCUCUUAACACGAGCCAUGUGGCAGCACAAGUCCUGCUGCUGAUGCUUGACCACUGGGGAAGGACUUAGACCUGUCUCCACACCCCCCCUCCAAGUAUUUGGCUGUGUUUAUGAAAGAUGUCCCCACCAUGCCCCCUUCUCCCCACCUUCCUCCCCUGCCCUCCUUCCCCCUUGGAUCUGUGGCCCCUCUCUGGUUUUGCCCCCCCGACUUGCGCCUGCAGUCACUGGAGAUCAAGUGUUUGACCACGGUUAAUGCAAUCGAGUAGGUGAUGUCUGGGGCCCAGGAGCAGUGCAGCUUUCUGUUGUCAGGCUGUACACGGAGGUGCACU